Molecule: long non-coding RNA, 890 nt
Filed under: Mytilus galloprovincialis (Mediterranean mussel)
Lineage: Eukaryota; Metazoa; Mollusca; Bivalvia; Mytilida; Mytilidae
Source: RNAcentral
AAAUUGUCAUUUUAUUAGGGCCCCGCCGACUAAGGCGGGUCGCCCUAUAGUGAUCAGUCUGUCCGUCCGUCUGUCCGUCCGUCCGUCCGUCCGUCCGUCCGUCCGUCCGUCCGUCCGUCCGUCCGUAACACUUUAACUUUGUGUCCGCUCUAUAUCUUAAAAACCGUUAUGAUUUCAAAGUUUAUACUUGACAUCCAUUUUAACCAACACCAGAGGGUGUGUCAUGAUGUAUGUAAAACUUCCUAGGUCAAAGGUCAAGGUCAAAAACUUUGGUUUCAGUUGACAACCCUGUGUCCUGUGGUGAAGAUCGUGUCCGCUCUAUAUCUUGAGAACCAUUAUCAUUUCAAAGUUUAUACUUGACAUGUAUAUAAACCAACACCAAAGGGUGUGUCAUAAUUUAUGUGCAACUUCCUAGGUCAAAGGUCAAGGUCAAAAACUUUGGUUUCAGUUGACAACCCCAUGUCAUAUGGUAAAGAUCGUGUCCGCUCUAUAUCUUGAGAACCAUUAUCAUUUCAAAGUUUAUACUUGACAUGUUUAUAAACCAACACCAAAGGGUGUGUCAUAAUUUAUUUACAACUUCCUAGGUCAAAGGUCAAGGUCAAAAACUUUGGUUUCAGUUGACAACCCCAUGUCCUAUGGUAAAGAUCGUGUCCGCUCCAUAUCUUGAGAACCAUUAUCAUUUCAAAGUUUAUACUUGACAUGUUUAUAAACCAACACCAAAGGGUGUGUCAUAAUUUAUUUACAACUUCCUAGGUCAAAGGUCAAGGUCAAAAACUUUGAUUUCAGUUGACAAACCCAUGUCCUAUGGUAAAGAUACAAUUUUUUAAUGCACAUUAUUCACAGCGGGGCCCACAGAGAUGGCUUCCAUCUCAAUGAUAUCUAGUUUCUUU